GCCGACGUAGCUCAACUGGCAGAGCACUCGCCUUGUAAGCGAGUGGUUAGGGGUUCGAGUCCCCUCGUCGGCUCCA
This 76-nucleotide transfer RNA is filed under the name Actinoalloteichus caeruleus DSM 43889. RNAcentral's name for it is "Actinoalloteichus cyanogriseus DSM 43889 tRNA-Thr". It matches the Rfam family "tRNA". From Rfam's summary of the family: Transfer RNA (tRNA) molecules are approximately 80 nucleotides in length. The record is from RNAcentral. Lineage: Bacteria; Bacillati; Actinomycetota; Actinomycetes; Pseudonocardiales; Pseudonocardiaceae. RNAcentral also lists the same sequence under 2 other names.